Molecule: ribosomal RNA, 594 nt
Filed under: Micarea versicolor
Lineage: Eukaryota; Fungi; Ascomycota; Lecanoromycetes; Lecanorales; Micareaceae
Description: SSU rRNA
Rfam family: Bacterial small subunit ribosomal RNA
Source: RNAcentral
UGAACCAGCAACUGGAGGAAGUAUAGCGAAAGCUAANUGUUUGUGUCUAAAAAAUAAACAAUUCGAUUGAUCGAAUAAAUUCAAGGUAAAUAUNUGAUAAUGACAUUUUUACCUAUAGUCUUGACUAACUACGUGCCAGCAGUCGCGGUAAUACGUAGGAGGCUAGUGUUAUUCAUCUUUAAUAGGUUUAAAGGGUACCUAGACGGCAGAUAAAGCCAUAAUUGGAACUUGUUUGCUAGAGUUACUUGUGAAGAGGCUUUAAUGUACUGCAGGUGAAGAGAUGAAAUUCUAUUAUACUUUUUUCUUAUAGAAAUAUAUGGCACAGGCAGGGGUGAAGACAUCUUCUUAUGAGAUAACUGACGUUGAGGGACGAAGGCUUUUUAUAGCGAACAGGAUUAGAUACCCUGGUAGUCAAAGCAGAAAACUAUGAGUGCCAUGUAAUAGAAAAAAUUUUAUUAUAUAAGUGAAAGUGUAAGCAUUCCACCUCAAGAGUAAUUUGGCAACAUUGGAACUGAAAUCAUUAGACCGUAUUUGAGACCAGUAAUGAAGUAUGUUAUUUAAUUUGAUGAUACGCAAAGAACCUUACCACAACUU